Anas platyrhynchos (mallard) is the source of this 791-nucleotide non-coding RNA. NCBI's taxonomy places the organism in Eukaryota, Metazoa, Chordata, Aves, Anseriformes, Anatidae. The record is from RefSeq and is a predicted model, not a curated record.
AGCACUCAGACAAACAACUGCAAGAAAACAACCCCACCUGCAAGAAAACAACCCCCUUGUGAUUAGCAGUCACGUAGAUCCUGGCCUUGAAACCAGCUGCUGGCAACAAUAUUUUUUAAUUCCUCAAUCGGGUGAUAUGGGAACAUUGUCAUGGGAACUCCUCGUAGUCGUCCAGGUAGCUUGGUUUGCUCAGCUGCAGCAAGUCAUGGCCUCCUUGCUGUUCCAAAAAUCCCUCAAUAUAACACCAUGCUAGUCUGAACAUCCCAAGGAUAUCCAACAUCUUGGAGAACUAUUAGCAUGGGCAGAGGUGGAAGCUACCCCCUGCAGUCUGGACAAGAUCCAGGAACCCACAGAGUCUGUGCAGGAACAAAAAGUUACUAGCGGUGAUGAAGAAGAACCAUGAGCCUUCAUCCCCACGACCUGCAAUGACCACCACCAAGAGAUACUGUGCAGGCGCCAAAAGGAGGAGUUUGUGAAAAUACUAACUAUAAUACGAAGUGGGGAUAGGUCAUACAUAUGUAUAGGCGUACUCGGAUUUCUCAUGAAUAUGUAAAAGUGAUGUUCUAUAUAUAUAUUUAGAAAGUCCGACGGUUGUGCGUGCAUGUUGGUAGAGCAUAAGCUCCCCAUGCACUCAGUGCUGUUUACUUGCCUUUUAUAAAUAUUACUAAAUUCAGAUUGAGUUGUAUCUUCAUUUAUAACAAUAUAAACUGUACUAUGUGACUAGUAGGCGCGCUCCUGCUUGUGGGAUGCCCGCCAUUGCAAUCGCAAAUAAAAAUGCUACUUCACUGAGA